CACACAAGAAGCUAUCAAAGUUUUUUCUAAGAGAGAGACUCUGUUGGAAUGGCUUCAAAAUCAAGUGAAGGUUCGCGUUGUCAGUGUGUACGACUUUGCUGUCAUUCUUUAUAAUUCUUUUAAGGGUGACCGACAGCUUGCUAUUGCCUAUGUUCACUUCCUUUAUCAUUCCCUCUCGAAGAGUUAUCUACCAAAGGGGGAUGUUGACAAUUUGUGUCGUAUCAUGCCACUUGUAGAUAACUAUGGGCAUGUGAGCACUCAGAGAAAAGGUGUUCUCGUUCCUGCUAACGGAAGCAAAUGGGUGGGAUUAAUGGGUGCAAAUCCGUGGAGGGGAGCAGGCUAUGUUGAGCUGGGAGAAGACUAUUUGCGCUCGGGCAGUUAUGCAGGUUCAUUCACACCAGAGAUGCAGCUAAUGACGUUUCUCAAAACUCAUGUUGCAGCUUCUGAUAUACCUGAUAUAUCUCCUCCCGACGCCGAGUUAUCUGCCGCAUAUGCACCACUCACCAAGCAAAAUGCAUUCUUGCUGUUGGACUGGAUUCACAACCUGAAAUAUAAGCAAGGUCUGCCAGCUAAGUUCCUGACAUCCAUUAAGAUGGGAAGCUGGCUCAAAAUUUCCCUCAGUGGCAGUCCUGGAUAUAGGCCACCAUCACAGUCUUUCCUGCUUGCUUCAUCAGAUGAAAAUCUUCUGCAGGAUGAGUCAGUAAUGGUUGAUAUUCCAUUGAUUGACCAAGGAUUUUAUGGAAAUGGCAUCAAUAAUUAUAAGGAGGAGCUCAAAACUGUUGGAGUAAAGUUUGAAUAUGGCGAAGCGUGUGAGUUUAUAGGGAGGCACCUCAUGUCUCUUGCAGCUUCCUCUGCAUUGACUAAAUCCAAUGUGUUUCAAAUACUUAAGUUCAUCAGAUUUUUGAGACUUAGAUGUCUUCCGGCUGAUAAAUUCAUCCAGAGCAUCAAAGAUGGAAGGUGGUUGAAGACUUCCUGUGGUCACAGGUCUCCAGUUGGAUCUGUUUUAUUUGACCAGGAAUGGGAAGCUGCAUCACAAAUAAGUGACAUCCCCUUCAUUGACCAAGAUCACUAUGGCAAGGAAAUCCUUGGUUUCAAAAUGGAACUCCAAUUGCUUGGUGUGCUGGUUGGCUUUAACAAAAAUUACCAGCUUGUUACCGAUCACUUCAAGUCUCAAGCAUGCUCAAAUUGUCCAACAGCCAAGUCUAUUCUUUUGAUAUUUGAAUGCAUGUGGGAUUGCGAGCGCAAUUCAAGAUCAGCCCAUGAGCUUGUGCAUGCGCUUAAAGGUAAUAAAUGCUUGAAGACGAACAUGGGCUACAAGUUUCCUAGUGAAUGUUUCCUGUUUAAUACUGAGUGGGAUUCGCUUCUGAAAGUCUUCCAUAAUGAUUUUCCACUUAUUGAUGAAAACUUCUAUGGAACCAGCAUCUUGUCUUACGAAAAAGAGUUGAGGCAAGCAGGUGUAGUGGUGGAUUUUGAAGCAGCGACCCAGAAAUUUUUAGCUGUUUUCAAGAAGCAUGCAUCCUCGUCUUCUAUUGGAAGAGAACAUGUUCUGUCUUUUCUCAGGUCUUACGGACAGAUUAAUAAGACAAACAAGAAGUUUCCUUCAGAUUUUAAGCACAACAUUUGUGAGGCAAAAUGGCUGCAAACACGGCUUGGUGUUCCUAGAUCACCAAGAGAGUGCAUUCUUUUUGGCCCAGAAUGGGAACCUGUAAGUUCAAUUACUGUGCUUCCUUUCAUUGAUGAUAGUGACAAGUACUAUGGCAAGAGAAUUCAUGAAUAUAGUAAAGAGCUGAGGAGCCUGGGUGUUACCAUCAAGUAUAAAGAUGGGGUGAGGUUUGUGGCUGCAGGUGUCUACUUUCCCCAAGAUCCCAGCACCAUAACUCCUGAAAGUGUGUUCUCUCUGCUGCAGUGCAUCCAGAUAUUAAUGAAAGAUGGUUAUACUUUGACUGAUGCUUUCCGGUCAAAGGUUUCUCAAAGUUGGUUAAAAACCAAUGCUGGGUAUAGGUCUCCAGGCCAAUGUUUGUUGUUUGGCUCUGAGUGGGGUUCUUUCUUACAGAGGAACGAUGGACCUUUCAUUGAUGAAGAAUUCUAUGGCCCCAACAUUACAGCCUACAAGAACGAGCUCAGAGAAAUUGGAGUGACCGUUGAUUUGUUAAAUGGGUGCUCUUUGCUUGCUGGCUAUCUUGAUUUUCAUUCUGAAUUUUCAACCAUUGUUCGAGUCUAUAAUUACUUGAAUGAACACGGCUGGUCGCCUUCCAAUGAUACUCCUAGAAGGAUCUGGAUCCCUAAUGGGAGUGACAGUGGAGAGUGGGUUAGUCCUGAAAAAUGUGUUAUUCAUGACAAGGAUGGUCUCUUCAGUUCACAGCUGAAUGUUUUAGAGAAACACUAUAAGCCGGAAUUAUUCAGCCUUUUCUGCAGAGUCAUGCAAGUUAAAUCCAAUCCUUCUAUUGAUGACUACUGCGAACUUUGGAAUAACUGGGAAAAUUCAAGGGAGCAACUGUCACGUUCGGAGUGUUGUGCUUUCUGGGCCCAUGUUUCAAAGCACUGGAGUAAAAACACACAGAAAACUCUUGCCGACAGCUUGUCAAAACUGCCAGUUGAAUCAGGAUCGGAGAGAAUAAUGCUGUUUGACAAACGUGAUGUUUUCAUUGCAGAUGACCUCCAGCUGAAGUAUCUUUUCCAACAAUCUUCGCCUCACUCAAUUUUUGUGUGGUAUCCCCAGCCAAGCAUCCCUUCCUUGCCCCGGACUAAGCUGCUUGACAUCUACAGGGAAAUUGGUGUUCGUUCUAUCUCUAAAUCUGUACAGAAGGAAGAAAUCUCCAAGUUGGAGGCCAGUGAACUCAAGCAAGUGUCUCAGAAGGAAACUUUGAUCGGAAAAGGCCUGCUGAAACUCAUUCUUGGCUUUCUCGCUGGUCCUUCUAUUGAAAUGGAAGCAGGACAAAGGCUGGAAGCUGUCAAAGGCCUUCUCAAUCUUAAGGUGUUUGAGACGGAGGGGCAAACUGCAGCAAGCUACAGAUUGUCAAUGUCUUCUGGGGAAACCAUGGACGUUGAUGCAAGAGGAAUGAUGCGCUGGGACCGGGAGGAUUCCAAGCUUUUCAUGCAGAAGAUGGAUAUAUCGGGUGGACAUAAAAAUAAAAUCGAAUAUGCUACAAUCUUCGCUGAAGUAAUAUCAGAGGGCGUCUUACAGGAGAAAGAAGACCAUAUAUCUGAUCUCGCCGAACUGAUCAAGUUGGCAUUCUUCCUGGAUUUUGAUGAGGAAGCAGUUGGGUUCUUGAUGAGAUCCAAGAAUCUCCAAGUUUUCUUGGAGGACGAGGAGCUUCUCUCUUCAGCCCUUUCUCUCGACUAGGUAUGCAUUCUAUGCCAUGACCAAUAAAUAGUUGAAAGUGUCAUUUUCCUUAUAUUUCCCCGUUUGAAGUGUGUACUGGUGUGUGCUAUUAGAAUAUUAUAUAAUGUAUAUGAAUCUGGUGUGAAAUGGCUGAUUUAGGCAGCCUAUAUUGUGAUAAUUAUGCCCUUGUGCUUGCCUUUUUUAUUAAAUCGAUUUAAUAUUAAUUGACAUGCAAGAGACAAAAUUAAAUAUUUAAAAGGAGAUGCAUGUGAAGAUCUAAUCUACUCAUAUGUUUUCAAACACUAAAAGUAAAAAAAAAAUUAUAUUGUAAGAGUUCAACUUUAACAUAUCAAAUUAUAAAAAAAUAAAAAAAUUACAAUAUAUCAUCCUUAAAAUAGAUGGUUGCAAUUUUUUUUUAAUCCUCAUUAAUUAUUUUUUAAAUGACUAUAUUAUUUGCUAUAGAGAAUACUCCAUCUCUAUACCUAAAUUUAACACUUGAAGAAAAAUUUUCUUCGGCUUUGAACCCCGUGAAACUCGGUUGCAUUAGAAGUUACAAAUAAAAAUGAUUUCAUUACUUUAAUAAGAUAAUAUGAGAGUAUUUGAUAUAUAAAAUUAAUAAAUGAACAUAGUCUAAUAUUUAAUUUAAUUUAUUAACCAUAUUAUGGAUUUUUUAAUUAAUUUAUUUAAUGUCAAAAAAUCUUUUUUUAGGUCUAAUAAACCCAAAAAAAAAAAAAAUUAAAACAUGUUAGGUAUUGUUUUGUUUAAUUGUUAUUAGAUUAUUAGAAAACAAUUUGGGAGUAGUUAUUAAUCGUUUUCAAAAACAAAAUUAUAUUUGAUAUUUUAAAAAUAGUUCAUUGAUUUUGUUCUCAAUGAAAGUACCAUAAACUUUAACAUAAAAUAUAAUUUUUUUUCUAAAUGUGUUCUAUAUUUUUAAUUGUUUAUUAAGACAUUUGAAAAUAUGUUAAAUUUAUUUUCAAAAUAAUAUGUUAUCAAAAUAAAUUUUGAAAAACGGUUUUGUUUCAAAAGUCUACCAACUAUUUUCUAGGUUGGAAAAUUGGUUUUAGUUAUACAAUAAUAAUUUCCAUACGGAUGCUUGAGAUAUGGAUUUAGUACCAUAUUAAAUUUAUGUAUUUAAAUAUAAAUCAUUGAAUAAAAAUAUAGCAAAAAAAAAGAUAUUUAAAUGUAAAUAUAUUGGACCACGUUAUAAAAAAAUAAAAAAAACAAGAGAACGAGACUAUUACAAGUAUCGAAGUAUGAAAUUCAAGGUGCCCACAUAAACCUUUUUUAUUGAGCACCAUUCUAUAUAAAGAUUUAUUUGAAAACUUAUUUUGAAAAUAGCUUUGUGUUUAAAUGUCUUUAUAGUUGAGAAACAAUAAAUUCAUAUUUCCUUUUUUUUCAACUUCCAUGCAAUACCUAUAGAGUCACUGUGAUUCUUGCAAAUGAGUUGAACUUGAAUCCCAAAAGUGAAUAAAAAAUUGGAUCUACAUUGAAUUGUCUUGUUGAUCUACGUUAAAUUGCCUCAUCAAUUCUUUUGAGUAAAAACUUGAUCUUAGACUUAAUUCAAACAAAAGGAGUACAUUAUGCUAAUGUAUCUUGAAUGAUCCACAUCUCAAGGUAGUUGGCCCAAUAUAUCGGGAUGAUUGGCUUAAUGAGCAUAGGGGUGGUUGACCCAAUAAGCACAUUGAAGAAUUAAUGUGACUAGUCUUGAUGUUUUUAUAGGGAUGGUAAUGGAUAAGUUUUUUUUGUACCAUCUAUGCCCAUGGGACAAAUUUGAAAGAAAUGUAUAUUGAAUGGGCUUUAUUGUUGUUUUUUCUUAAAAAAAAAAAAAAACUAGAGUCAUCAAAGAAGGUUUUCUUACCAAACCUAAUUAUAUAAAAUUAGAUAAAAAUAAUUUCAUUUCAUUUUCUUUUGACAAAAUUAAAAUUAAAAAUUUUGAAAAAUAAUUUAAAAAUUAAAGGAGAUAUGAGAGAGGUAAGCAUGGGAAAUUGCUAGGGUGCAACUUGGGCGGGUUGGAUUGGGCCAACCCAAACCUAACCCUCUAUUUGGACGGGCUUAGAUAGAUGUUUUUAAUAUUUGGGUUGAACUUGUAUUAAGUUUUCUCAAUAUGAACCCAACCCAAACCGGUUUAAUGUUUUUAUACUUGUAUAAUAAUAUUCAUCUCCUUUUCAAAUUUUAAAAAUAUCAAAUUAUAAAUAUAUCAUAUACUUCUCAUUUAUAUAUAUAUAUAUAUAUAUAUAUAUAUAUAUAUAUAAGUUUAUUUUUAUUAUAAAAUAUGAAAUUUUGUACCACUAUGGUAACUUAUGGAUGAUCAUCCAUAAAUAUAUUUUAUAACUCUUUAUAAAAGGAAGAGACUUCUAAUGAAAUUUAAUAGAGUUUUCUAAUACAUUCUAUUAUCUCUUUCUUGAUUUCUUCUUCUCUCAUUUUGUUUUAUAAUAAUUUUUACUUUUUUAUUGUUAUCUUGAAAUUUUGUCUUAUUUUUUAUAUAAAUAUAUAUAAUUUAAAAAAAAAACCAUUAUGAAUAAAUUUUAAAUUAUGCAACCCAACCAAUUCCACUCUUGUCCAAUCAACUUGAGUUUAAUUCUAUUAACCCAAUUUUAAUCCAAGUUUAAAAAAACAAGAUUGAGCACUUCAAGUUAGAAAUCGGAUUAAAUUGAGUUUGGGUUAAUCAUUUCUUAAUUUAAAUUAAACUCAAGUUAACUUUCAACCUAUUCAAGUUGUAACCUUAGAAAUUCUAUACCUAUCUCAAUCUACCAUUUUUUAGUUAAAACUUUUUUUAGGAUGGAAAUAUGAGUAAUUUUAAAUAAUAUAAGUACCCAUCCUCAUCCAUUGAGUUGCUAUCCCUAGUGUUUUUAUAGGAUUGCCACCCUCUAUUUUGAGUAUUUUUAGAAGAUUGUCGGUCUCGUUAUUAGCUCAUAUUUAUAGUUUAAUCCUCUUGGAGACUCCCGUUCUACUUGUACAGUCACUUAUAUGUUUUUUUAUCCAUCUCCCUUUGGAAAAUGAGAGGAAAAGACAAUGCAAGAACUCUAUGGUCCAUAAAGACUCGGCGUGGAGGAAUGGUGACGUCACUUUCUAGUACAAUGGGCCAAACUUUUUUCUCAUUUUCCACUAGGUGGGUGCCUUUUAAAAUCUUUAAAUUUUUAUUUUUUAUUUUUGUUCAUUCUUUAUUAAUUCCUUCUCCACUUUCUAAUUCCUUCGCCCGGAGGUUUCCCCUUUGGUUAAAGUUAAUCAUUAAAGGUAAAAAAAGAUUAAAUAAAAUAACAUUUUCAUUAAUAAUCGCAUUAAAGUGAAUCAUCAAAGUUAAUAUGAUUAAAUAAUAUAAUAUUUUGACUAAUAAUUAAGGAUUUAAUUAAAAAUUAUUCUUGAAAUUAGUUUUAUAUCACUUCUUAAUUGUUUUUAGAAAUAGAAUUACAUUUGAUAUUUGAAAAAUAGUUUUUUUUUUUAUCUUAUUUUUCAUUAAAGUAUUAUUAGCAUAAAAGUUUUUAAAAUAUUACUUAUAUUUUCAAUUAUUACUCAAAACACUUUAAAAGUAAUAAACGAAAAUAUCUUAAAUUUGUUCUCAAAACAAUUCAUCUUUAAAAUAAUUUUUCAAAAAACUAUUUUUUUUUUCAAAAGUCUAUUAAAAUUGUUUUCUAAGUUAGAAAAUUGCUUUCAAUUAUAAAAAUAGAGGUUGUUCAAAAAUGUUUUUGAAAACAAUAUUAAAAAAUAUUUGUAUGAUAAUUUCUAAAACAAAAUUUUGUUUAUAAAUUUGAAAUGUUUUAAUUUAUUUUGUGUAUUUAAAUAUUCCUUAAAAAUAUUUUUUUUAUAUGUAUUGAUUGUUAUUUAAAAAAGUUUUAAAAAACAAGAAAAACCAUUAUAUAUUCUAAAGAAAAUAAAUCAUAUUUUUAUAAUAAUUCUCAAAAACCUAUUUUGGGAUAACCAAUAAAAAAACAAAUUUUGAUUUUUUUUUUUUUGUUAAAAUAGCUCAAAAAUAUAACCUAAAAGGUUGUUUUCAAAAAUAGUUUUAAAAUAUAUCCUUAGCAUAUGGAUUUGGUAUCAUAUCAAAACUCAAAAUAUGAAUCUUUAUGUGUAUGAUUAAAAAUAUAUCACUAAGUAAAAAUAUAAAAAAAAAUGAAAUAUUUAUAUAAAUAUAUAGGACCAAAUUAUCAGGGAAAAAAAACAUUAAAAGUAUAAACAAAUGAAAUUUGUAGUUUUUGUAUAAACAUUUUAGCCUAAGUAGUGUUAUAUAUAUAUAUAUAUAUAUAUAUAUAUAUAUAUAUAUAUAUAUAUAUAUAAAGGCUUAUUUGGUAAUGGCUAAUAAUAAGUUCUAUUUGGAAAACAUUUAUUUAUUUACAAAAAAACAGAUUUGAUCAAUUUUUAUUAUUAUUGAAUAUAUAUAUAUAUAUAUAUAAUAACAAAUUUGAGUUGUUUUAGAAAAACAAUUGAAAAUAUGAUAUUUAAAAAAAUUUUACAUUAUGUAUUAUGUACAGGUGUAUAAUACAUGGAAUAAGCUUUCCAAAUUAAAUUCUUUAAGAAAAUUUUGUUUGUAAAAUAAAUUGAGAAGUAUUUUAUGUAAUAAGAGUUUUUUUUAAAAAAACUCUGUAAAAAUUUAUAUUUAGGAAAAUUGCUAAGUUAUCAAAUAGUUAUUAUAUCAACCACUAAAUCUAAAUUAUUGAUCUUCAUAAUUAAAUUUGAAUGAUUGAAUAAAUGUAACAUGAAAUGGGAUCAUAAUGGAAAAUUAGGAAUCAGGUAUAAAAGAAUAAGCUUCUCAAAUGGAAAUUCAUUCAAUUAUAAAUUUCUCCAUUUUUGGAUAUAUUUUUCAAUCACAAUUCUAUAGUUUUUUAUACGAUUUAUCUUUAUUUAAAAAAUAAAAUAAAACAUGCCUUUUUCUUCACUGUAAUUCGUUGAAUCAAAUUUUUAUAAGAUUUAGUAAUUAUUUUAAAUUAGAAAUUUCAAACAAAAAAAUCGGAUAAUAUAAAAUUAGGUAGAAAUAAAUACAAAUAAAUCUAUUUUACACGUGGUCGUUUAUUAUUGGGCAUAUCGAAAAUAAUCAAAAUACACCACUUUUAAAUCUCACUCCCCACAUGCAAGGACGAUUCCAAAUUUCCAACUUCAUGGAACCACACCUCGUAGACCCGAGCAAGUCUCCUCGUCCGUACGUCUCGCCCCUUUUUUUUCUCUUUCUUUAGUUGAUGUCGAUUCCGUUGAUUGCUUACUUCCUUCACAAGUUUUGCUUCUUUACUAAGUUUCUCACAUUCUAGUCCACACAAAACGACGAUGGAUUGGACAUUCUUUAAAUGCGUCUCUUUUAUAUAUGUAGACACUUCUGUGUGUUGCCAUUCAGUGCCCUUGGCAUCUUUCUACUGAGAGUGAAGACUGAGAGUGCUUUGUGUGAAUCGAGAAGGAGGAGUGGUCGUAAUGGCGACGCCGGAGGAGCAUAUAAAGGAGAUAAGGAGGACGAAGUUCUCGAUUGGAGGAGAGCUGAAUCCGCUGACGGAGGAUCUUCACCAGGCGGUGAAGAAUCUCUCAGCUGAGCUUUACGCUAAGGAUGUUCAUUUCCUCAUGGAACUCAUUCAGGUCUGUGCUUUAUAUGUUUGUCUUGUUGUUUUUAGAGAUGUGAUGAGCACUCUGCGUUGUAUGCAGCCAUUGUUUUGUCAUGUUAUUUAAAAUUUUGAGCGCUUUGAGCGCUGCUCUGUUCCUCUGCUAGAAAACCAAGGAAAAUGACGGUUAUGAGACUUUUGAAUAUUUUGUUUUCUUUAUAUGGUAUUUGUUUCUUGGAGAUGACUAACUAGAGAUUCAUAAUUAUAUGAUAUAUCUUUGAAGUAAAAAUCAACUUAGGAAAGUAUAUGAUAUAUUUAUAAUUUGAUAUUUUUAAAAUUUAAAAAGGAGAUGAAUAUUAUUAUACAAGUAUAAAAACACUAAAUCAGGUUUGGUUUUGGUUCGUAUUGAGAAAACUUUAACACAAGUUCAACCCAAAUAUUAAAUCGGUGCACUAACUUUCUGAAGAAUAUGUUACUUAUCUAUUAUUCUAAUUCGAUCAUUAUGAUCGGAAAGUGAAGUGAUAUGGAUUGAGAAUUAGUUUUGCACUAACUUUUUGAAGAAUAUGUUACUUAUCUAUUAUUCUAAUUCGAUCAUUAUGAUCGGAAAGUGAAGUGAUAUGGAUUGAGAAUUAGUUUUGUUACAUUCAAACUUCGGUUACAUUUUUUUGGUCUUGGAAAAUCUAAAUGUGAAGAAAUCACAUAUUCUAAAUUUUACAUAACAGAAUGCAGAAGAUAAUGACUACCCGGAAGGUGUAAAUCCAUCACUGGAGCUCGUUAUAACUUCACAGGACAUAACUGGCACUGGAGCAUCCGCGACAUUGUUGAUUUUCAACAACGAAAAAGGGUUUUCAGCUAAAAAUAUUGAGUCUAUCUGCAGUGUUGGGAGGUCCACCAAGAAAAACAAUAGGAAGUGUGGCUAUAUUGGAGAGAAAGGUACCUUCAUUUUUUUACUCUUUCGCUCAUAUCUCUCCAUCUUCCAUGCUGUAAAUUUUAAAACGAAACAGAGCAAGCUCUAACUCUCUGUCUGCAAAAAGAAAUUCUUUCUUUUCGAUAAUCCCUAGUCAACGAUAGACUGUCUCCCGAUUGUCUCUGUGAAACAAUCGGAAGACAACAAGGAUUAGAUAAAAUGAGAAAUAGAGGUAUGUGAUAGUAGAAAGUGAUCUAUCUUGGUUCUAUAUUUUUAUGCAUUUCAUUAAUACUGGGAACAAAAGAAACAAGGGGUCUUAUUAUUCUUACAUGUUCAUUAGUAACAUUCCCUUGAUACUUUCCAAGGGUAUCACUCGUAUUUUGCUUAUGCUUAAUGUUUUCUGAUUCUACUAGAAAUCUUAUAAGAACUUGUUUUGUUAUAAGUGGAUUUAUGGGAUUGGUUCUUCAAUGGUCUUGGGUCAGAAUCCUAUUUUGACUCUGCAUCAUCGAUUCCACUAUUAUUAGUGAGCAAUAAUGGAAAAAUUCUUUCAUAUUCAUAGAAAUAAGGGACAUAAUUUACAUGGAUAUAGUAAGUUUCGCUUGGGCUGCUUUAAUGGUAGUCUUUACAUUUUCUCUUUCACUCGUAGUAUGGGGAAGAAGUGGACUUUAGAGGUACUAUUGAUUCAGUUGAGAAUCUUUAACUACAGAUCAAGUAUAUCCUCAAUUCUUAGAACCUCUAGUGUAGAAACACUUUAUUCAUGUCAAAAAGUUAGCUUAAUCAAUUCAGCUAGACACCCCAACUUUGGUCUUUACUAAGUCAACCUUCUCCUUUGCUUAACUUGCUAGCCUAAGAUGUACACGACUUAAAAGCUAAAAUGAAAACUGUGGGCAAGACUUUUGGUCUUUACUAAGUCAACCUUCUCCCUUGCUUAACUUGCUAGCCUAAGAUGCACACGACUUAGAAGUAUUUCUUAUACAACUUGUCGUCUUGCUAAUAUGCAGGAAUUGGGUUCAAGAGUGUAUUUCUAAUCACAGCACAACCUUACAUAUUCAGUAAUGGAUAUCAGAUACGAUUCAAUGAAGAGCCUUGCCCGCACAGCAAUCUUGGGUACAUAGUCCCUGAAUGGGUUCAGUGGAAUCCAACUCUUGAUGACAUAAAGCAAAUAUACGGUUCUCAUGCAGUCCUUCCAACCACUACCAUAAUCUUGCCUCUAAAGCCUGACAAGAUCGGCCCUGUGAAGGAACAGCUCUCAAGUAUUCAACCUGAAGUUCUAUUAUUUCUUUCAAAGAUUAAGCAGUUUUCUGUCAAGAAACAUAAUGAGGAUCCCAGGCUCAAUACGGUGAAUGCUAUAUCUAUUUCAAGUGAAAUUAACUUUGUUAAAAGGAAGAAUAUUGAUGCUGAUUCCUAUAUUCUCCAUCUCUCCACGGAUGGAGCUAAGGAUGUGACUGAAAAAGAAUGCAGCUAUUAUAUGUGGAGGCAGAAGUUCCCUGUCAGGCAGGAAAAUCAAGUAGAAAGAAGACUUGGAGUGGAGGAGUUGGUUAUUACGCUGGCAUUUCCAUUUGGACAGCGACUGAAUAGAGGGAUAAGCUCUCCAGGAGUCUAUGCAUUUCUUCCCACGGAGAUGGUUACAAAUUUUCCUUUCAUUAUUCAGGCAGAUUUUGUUCUUGCAUCAUCCAGGGAAACAAUCCUCUUGGACAACAAAUGGAACCAAGGCAUUCUAGAUUGUGUGCCUUCUGCUUUUCUUAAUGCCUUCAUUUCACUGGUUACAACAUCACAAGAUGUUCCAGUCUCUACACUGACCCCAAUGUUUAAGUUCUUGCCUAUCUACAGCUCUCCUUAUCCAAAGCUCAAUGAUGUGAGGGAGUUGAUCAAAGCAGAACUGCUUAAGAAGAAUAUCGUACCAUGUGAGUCGUAUUCAGACCAGAAGAUCUUUCGUAAACCUUGUGAAGUGGGUAGGUUAAUGCCUUCUUUCUGGAAUAUCCUGAAAAAGGCAAGGAAGCAAGGGGUAAGUUUGCAUUCUCUGUCAUCCCAUGGAAAGUAUAUUCUGAAUUCUUCAUUUGAUACAGAGGAGUACGAUCACAUAUUGAAUUUCCUUGGUGUGGAACCUGUCAAUAGCGAAUGGUAUGCCAAGUGUAUCAAGAGUUCCAAUCUUGUUUUGGGAGUGACAGAGGAUGGUUAUUUGGAGCUUCUACUCUUUAUUGCUGAGAAAUGGAGUUCCUCUUUCUACAGCACCGACAUGAAGAAUGUUCCUCUCCUAAAAUAUGUUGGUCCUGAUGGAAAUGUUGUUUUGUGCGCUACAAGCAAUGUCACAAUGUGGAAUGGUGAAAGUACGAUUUGUAUGUCCCGUGAGUCUCAGCAUAUUUCAUGGUUGAUAGACUGGAACAGGGAAUUUAGACGUGUGACAGAUCGAUAUUUUGUGCCCAAAAGCACACAAGAAGCUAUCAGGUCUUUUUUUAAGAGAGAGACUCUCUUGGAAUGGCUUCAAAAUCAAGUGAAGGUUCGGGCUGUAAGUGUGAAAGACUUUGCAGUCAUUCUUUGUAAUUCUCUUAAGGGUGACCGACAGCUUGCUAUCGCCUAUGUUCACUUCCUUUAUCAUUCCCUCUCGAAGAGUUAUCUACCAAAGGGGGAUGUUGACAAUUUGUGUGGUAUCAUGCCACUUGUAGAUAACUAUGGGCAUGUGAGCACUCAGAGAAAAGGGGUUCUCGUUCCUGCUAACGGAAGCAAAUGGGUGGGAUUAAUGGGUACAAAUCCGUGGAGGGGAGCAGGCUAUGUUGAGCUGGGAGAAGACUAUUUGCGCUCAGGCAGUUAUGCAGGUUUAUUCACAUCAGAGAUGCAACUAAUGACGUUUCUCAAAACUCAUGUUGCAGCUUCUGAUAUACCUCAUAUAUCUCCUCCCGACGCCGAGUUAUCUGCCGCAUAUGCACCACUCACCAAGCAAAAUGCAUUCUUGCUGUUGGACUGGAUUCACAACCUGAAAUAUAAGCAAGGUCUGCCAGCUAAGUUCCUGACAUCCAUUAAGAAGGGAAGCUGGUUCAAAAUUUCCCUCAGUGGCAGUCCUGGAUAUAGGCCACCAUCAGAGUCUUUCCUGCUUGCUUCAUCAGAUGAAAAUCUUCUGCAGGACGAGUCAGUAAUGGUUGAUAUUCCUUUGAUUGACCAAGGAUUUUAUGGAAAUGGCAUCAAUUGUUAUAAGGAGGAGCUCAAAACUGUUGGAGUAAUGUUUGAAUAUGGCGAAGCCUGUGAGUUUAUAGGGAGGCACCUCAUGUCUCUUGCAGCUUCCUCUGCGUUGACUAAAUCCAGUGUGUUUGAAAUACUCAAGUUCAUCAGAUUUUUGAGACUUAGAUUUCUUCCGGCUGAUAAAUUCAUCCAGAGUAUCAUAAAUGGAAGAUGGUUGAAGACUUCCUGUGGUCACAGGUCUCCAGUUGGAUCUGUUUUAUUUGACCAAGAAUGGAAAGCUGCAUCACAAAUCAGUGACAUCCCCUUCAUCGACCAAGAUCACUACGGCAAGGAAAUCCUUCGUUUCAAAAUGGAACUCCAAUUGCUAGGUGUGGUAGUUGGCUUCAACAAAAAUUACCAGCUUGUUACUGAUCACUUAAAGUCUCAAGCAUGCUCAAAUCAUCCAACAGCCGAGGCUAUUCUUUUGAUAUUUGAAUGCAUGCGUGAUUGUGAGCGCAAUUCAAGAUCAGCCCAUAAACUUAUACAGGCGCUUAAAGGUAAUAAAUGCUUGAAGACGAACAUGGGCUACAAGUUUCCUAGUGAAUGUUUCCUGUUUAAUACUGAGUGGGAUUCGCUUCUGAAAGUCUUCCAUAAUGAUUUCCCACUUAUUGAUGAAGACUUCUAUGGGACCAGCAUCUUGUCUUACGAAAAAGAGUCGAGGCAAGCGGGAAUAGUGGUGGAUUUUGAAGCAGCGACUCAGAAAUUUUUAGCUGUUUUCAAGAAGCAUGCAUCCUCGUCUUCCAUUGGAAGAGAACAUGUUCUGUCUUUUCUCAGGUCUUACAGACAGAUUGAUAAGACAAACAAGUUUCCUUCAGAUUUUAAGCGCGACAUCUGUCAGGCAAAAUGGCUGCAAACACGGCUUGGUGUUCCUAGAUCACCGAGAGAGUGCAUUCUUUUUGGCCCGGAGUGGGAACCUGUAAGUUCAAUUACUGUGCUUCCUUUCAUUGAUGAUAGUGACAAGUACUAUGGCAAGAGAAUUCAUGAAUAUAGUAAAGAGCUGAGGAGCCUGGGUGUUACCAUCAAGUAUAAAGAUGGGGUGAGGUUUGUGGCUGCAGGUGUCUACUUUCCCCAAGAUCCCAGCACCAUAACUCCUGAAAGUGUGUUCUCUCUGCUGCAGUGCAUCCAGAUAUUAAUGAAAGAUGGUUAUACUUUGACUGAUGCUUUCCGGAAAAAGGUUUCUCAAAGUUGGUUAAAAACCAAUGCUGGGUAUAGGUCUCCAGGCCAAAGUUUGUUGUUUGGCUCUGAGUGGGGUUCUUUCUUACACAGAAACGAUGGACCUUUCAUUGAUGAAGAAUUCUAUGGCCCCAACAUUACAGCCUACAAGAACGAGCUCGAAGAAAUAGGAGUGACCAUUGAUGUGUUAAAUGGGUGCUCUUUGCUUGCUGGCUAUCUUGAUUUUCAUUCUGAAUUUUCAACCAUUGUUCGAGUCUAUAAUUACUUGAAUAAACACGGCUGGUCGCCUUGCAAUGAUACUCCUAGAAGGAUCUGGAUCCCUAAUGGGAGUGACAGUGGAGAGUGGGUUAGUCCUGAAAAAUGUGUUAUUCACGACAAGGAUGGUCUCUUCAGUUCACGACUGAAUGUUUUAGAGAAACACUAUAAGCCGGAAUUAUUCAGCCUUUUCUGCAGAGUCAUGCAAGUUAAAUCCAAUCCUUCUAUUGAUGACUACUGCGAACUUUGGAAUAACUGGGAAAAUUCAAGGGAGCAAUUGUCACGUUCGGAGUGUUGUGCUUUCUGGGCCCAUGUUUCAAAGCACUGGAGUAAAAACACACAGAAAACCCUUGCCGACAGAUUGUCAAAACUGCCAGUUGAAUCAGGAUCGGAGAGAAUAAUGCUGUUUGACAAACGUGAUGUUUUCAUUGCAGAUGACCUCCAGCUGAAGUAUCUUUUCCAACAAUCUUCGCCUCACUCAAUAUUUGUGUGGUAUCCCCAGCCAAGCAUCCCUUCCUUGCCCCGGACUAAGCUGCUUGACAUCUACAGGGAAAUUGGUGUUCGUUCUAUCUCUAAAUCUGUACAGAAGGAAGAAAUCUCCAAGUUGGAGGCCAGUGAACUCAAGCAAGCGUCUCAGAAGGAAACUUUGAUCGGAAAAGGCCUGCUGAAACUCAUUCUUGGCUUUCUCGCUGGUCCUUCUAUUGAAAUGGAAGCAGGACAAAGGCUGGACGCUGUCAAAGGCCUUCUCAAUCUUAAGGUGUUUGAGACGGAGGAGUCAAUUGCAGCAAGCUAUAGAUUGUCAAUGUCUUCAGGGGAAACCAUGGCCGUUGAUGCAAGACGAAUGAUGCGCUGGGACCGGGAGGAUUCCAAUCUUUUCAUGCAGAAGAUGGAGAUAUCGGGUGGACAUAAAAAUAAAAUCGAAUAUGGUACAAUCUUCGCUGAAGUAAUAUCAGAGGGCGUCUUACAGGAGAAAGAAGACCAUAUACCUGAUCUCGCCGAACUGAUCAUGUUGGCAUUCCUCCUGGAUUUUGAUGAGGAAGCAGUUGGGUUCUUAAUGAGAUCCAAGAAUCUCCAAGUUUUCUUGGAGGACGAGGAGUUUCUCUCCUCAGCCCUUCCUGUCGACUAGGUAUCAUUUUCCUUAUAUUUACCCCCUGUUUGCAGUCUCUACUGGUAUGUGCUAUUAGAAUAUUAAUAUGUAAUAUAUAUGAAUCUGGUGUGUAGUAAACCUGAUAUUGUGAUAAUUAUGUCCUUGUGCUUGCCUUUUUAAGUAAAGGAGAUGUUAAGAUAUCCUAAUUUUUCCAUUUGUUUUCAAACAAUGCUAUGUUUGGUCCCCAAAAAAUAUGAGGGAGAAUGUGAGGGAAAAAAACUUAAAGAAAAAAAGUAAAAAAUAAAAAAUAGAUUUAAAAUUAAUAAAUUAUUUUAUAAUUAUUUCAAAUCCAUUUAACAUAUUUUUUCUUUUCUAUGUAAAGAUUAAAUCAUUUUAAAAUAUAUAAAUUUUUAACUAAUUAUAAUUAUAUUGGAUUUUCUUUUAUAUUUUUCAUAUUGUAAUCACACAUGAGAAAUUUAUUUUCUUUAAUAAUUUUUUUCUUAAUACUUUUUGGGAACAAAAAAAAAAAACUUAUAUUAUAAGAAUUGAACUUAACAUAUCAAAUUAUAAAAAUAAAAUUACAAUAUAUCAUCCUCAAAAUAGAUGGUUGCAAUUUAUCUUUUUUUGUCAUCAUUAAUUAUUUUUUAAAUAAGUCUAUUAUUUGCUAUAUUGAAUACUCCAUCUCAAUACCUAAAUUUAUCACUUGAAGAGAAUUUUUCUCCCCCUUUUGACCCACUUCUCUCGUAACCACUUUGAAAGAUUUUUCCUGUUAUAUUUAGAGCCCGUUUGGUAAUGAUUCUAGUGGAAGUGUUUUUAUUUUAAGUGUUUUCUGUUAUAGUGUUUCUGUGAAAAACACUUUUAUGAUAAUCAGAAAAAAUGAUUCUAAAGUGUUUUUGAUAAUAUAUUGUAUAAAUAUAAAAACACUUUUAAUAUUAAUAAAUUACCAAAAAGGACAUACAAUUUUAAUUAAAAAAAUGAUAUGAUAAACAAAAAAACUUUUUAUUAAUGAAAAAACAUCUAAAUCACUAAAAAAAUAACAUUAAAUAAAAGAUAAUUUUAAAAUUAAAACAAUAUAUGAUUACCUAUUAAUUUCUAUAAAAAAAAAAGACUUUUUUAAUUAAAAAUAAUAAUUUUUUUAUCACUAUACUAAAAUUUUAAAAAAUAUUUACAAAAAACAUCUAAAUCAAUAAAUAAAUAAAAACAUUGAAUAAAAGAUAAUUUUAAAAGUAAAACAAUAUAUGACCACCUAUUAAUUUCUAAAAAAAAAAAAGAUUUUUCUAAUUGAUUUAUCACUGGGGGCAUUUUUGGAAUAUUUCAAAAAAAUUGAAGUGUUUUUUUAAAAAAAAUGAUUCUCUAAAAAUCACCUCAAGUGUUUUUCCAGAUUUUAAAAAGUGUUUUUUAAAAUUUGCCAAACACUUUAUUUUCAUCCCAAAAACACUUAAAAGUGUUUUUAAGGGUAGAAACACUUUUAAAAAUCACUGCCAAACGGGCUCUUAGUGUUUCUUUUUUAUUAAAUGUUCUUGAAUUAUUAUUGCUCAUUUUUGUUAAAUUGUUAUUAUUGAUGAGCGGUGGUUAUUGUUAUUGAUGAAUCUUUUAACCGAAUACUUUAAAUCUCUUCUUUAACUUUCAAUUAAGUAUAUUUAAAAAAAUAAAAAAUGAGAAGUAAAUUAAUUUAAAGUAAAUUUAAAAUUUUCCAUAAAAUUUAUCCAUCAUUUUCCAACUUUACACUUUUAAAUAUAAUUUAUUUCUAAUUUUAAAAAGUAUUAAAGAUUUAUAUUUUUCUUCAAUCACAAUUCCCACCAAACUAGAUUUUUGUUGGAUUAAUUUUUGUUUUCAAAUAUCAUAAUGAUAGUCAUGUUUAAUUACAAGAGCACCUUUAAACUAGUGUUUUUACUUUUUGAAACACAAAAUUGAAUAGGAUAGAAUUAAGAAUAAAAAAAAUGAGAUCUAAAUUCAAUAUAAAUAAAUUUAAACUUUCCACGUGGCUGUUAAUUAUUGGGCAACACUCCGAAAAGCUCCGACUUUAAAAUCUCACCGUUCGCCUCCUAGGAGACCUGAGCAAGUCUCCUUGCCCGUACACCCCCUUUUCCUCUGUCUUACUCUUUCGCGUAGACGUCGACUUCGUUGGUUACUUACUACUUUCUCCACAGGUUUACUUCUCCACUAAGUUUAUCACUCUCAAAACCACAAGGAUUUGGCAUUGGAUUGCGUGUCUCAAAGUGUGUAUAUAUAAUUAUGUAUAUGUAUGACACUUCUUCGGUGUGAUGUCGUUUGGUGCUCUUGGCAUCUCUCUACUAAGAGUGAAGACUGAAGAGGAGUACUUUGAGUGAAUCGAGAAGGAGUAGUAAUGGCGACGCCGAAAGAGCAUAUAGAAGAGAUAAGGAGGACGAAGUUCUCGAUCGGAGGAGAGCUGAAUCCUCUGACGGAGGAUCUUCACCAGGCGGUCAAGAAUCUCUCUGCUGAGCUUUACGCUAAGGAUGUUCAUUUCCUCAUGGAGCUCAUUCAGGUUUGUUUUUAAUACGUUUCUCUUGUUUUUUGAGAUGUAAUCGGCACUGUGUUGUAUGCGGGGAUUGUUUUGUUAUAUUAUUUAAUAUUUUGACCCUUGUCUUGUUCAUCAGUUCCGUUGUCAGAAAACGGAGGAAAAUGAAACGUAUGGAACUUUUGUGUAUUUUGUUUUCUUCAUGUGGUUUUUGUUUCUUGGAGGUGACGGACUGGAGAUUGUACUUCCAAAAUAGCUCUGAAUGGAGAGGAGUUUUUCCAUAUAUUUUUUUCCUUUCCUUGGUAUGCUAAUGAAUUACUUUGGAAAAUCAUUUGGUUUUGAUUUCCAACAUAGACCAAAGAAUCAGGCAUGUAUUGUUUUGAUUCUGACCAGAAUGUGAUCUAGCUGAGAUUUAGUUUUGUUACAUUCAAAUUUCAGUUACAUUUUUUUUUUCUUUUGGAUAAUCUACAUGUGAAUUAACCAAAUAUGGUGAAUUUUGCAUAACAGAAUGCAGAAGAUAAUGAGUACGGGGAAGGAGUGAAUCCAUCGCUGGAGCUAGUUAUAACUUCACAGGACAUAACAGACACUGGAGCACCGGCGACAUUGUUGAUUUUCAAUAACGAGAAGGGGUUUUCAGCUAAAAACAUAGAGUCUAUAUGCAGUGUUGGGAGGUCCACCAAGAAAAGCAACAGGAAGCAGGGUUAUAUUGGAGAGAAAGGUACCUCCAUUCCUUGAUUCUUUCACUCAUAUUUUUCCCUUUUUAUGGUGUAAAUUUGAAAAGGAAACAGAGGAACGCCUACCUCUCUAUACUAAGCUUUAACUACAGAGCAGGUAGAUCCUCAAGUCUUAGAACUUAUAGAGUAAAAACACUUUAAUCGAGUCAAAAGUUAGCUUGAUCAAGUCAGCUAGAGCUUUCUUUCUUAUUAUCUUGAAUUAUGUGUUUGUAUAAGUUAUUUUUGGUUGUUCAGAACCAUCUAGUUAACCUCUAAUUUACAAACUUCUUAAUGGAGGUUGAGCAUUUGAAGUUCUUUUAAGAUAUGACGAUUGCCUGUAUUGUUCUCAUAAUUAGGAGAAAAUUUGGAGCUUGAAAAUUUAUCUAUGCAUCAUACAUGAUACUAAUGGAACUUGAAUUCACUAUGAUACAUAAAGUCUCAAAUGUCAUUUAAAUGACACAACAUAGGGAAGAAAUGAAAACGUAAGGCUUUAUCUAUUACAGUAGCUUACCAACAUCGAAUCUUGGUUCACUUUACCUACAAACAACAAUAUAGGGUGGUAAUGAAGAUCGAAGGGGCUAAUGCGUUUGGAUGGAUUAUUGGUUAAUUUUUGAAAACAUGACUGAUUCAACAUUAAGUCAAUGCAGUGUAGGCAUUAUAUUGAAACAUAUGCAACAGUUUAACAUACAAUCUAGGAUAAUCCUAUAAAUAUUAGGGAAAAUAAAUAAACUGGAUAAAAAUAAAACGAAAAAUGUACCAAUGAGAUUCCAGAUUCCCUCCCUUGCUUUCUGUAUGUGGUUCCCAAUGCUUACCCUUCCCCAUAAAGAAUGGUAUUAGAGCCUUAAAUCUUGAAUUGCUUUUCUUCUAGUGAAAUAUAUGCAUUUUAAAAUGCAGAUAUGAGAUAUAGAAUGCCCAUAUAUAAAUUUACCUUAGAAAUAUUAAGAAUAUGAAAGGAAGUUCUCAACAACAUGUGUGUUAGUACAAGUCAAAUAGGUGUACAAUAAAUGGAAUUGUUUCAUAUGCAUGGAGAUGCAUGAAUUCAAUAAUAGGAAACCAUCAGAAUGAUAUGACAGCAAAGUUGGCUUUGCAAUUAAAAUCCAACACUAACUGACCUUUUUUUUAAUUUGUAAUUACAAUCAUGUUGUUGGUGUUCCAGAGGAUCAUUUGAAGCAAAAUAUAUGAGCUCUUCCUAUAGCAGGCAAAUCAUGAUUAUCCCAAAUACUUAACUUUGUGCAGUGUGCUAACCUAAAAACACCCCCACCAAUGAAUUGUCCUAGUUUUCCCUCCUUUGAAAUUGGCUUUCUAUUAUUUUUCCCCAAAGCCAUUAACAAAAACAGAGUAGGCAUUUCCUUUCUGAUCUUUGAUGUUUUUUUAUGCAUGUUGUAGGACUCUUAUGGCCAUCUCAUGCGUUCAGUCCUUGAUUCCUGGAUUCCUUCCAUCAUAUUUUUACAUUCUUUAGUUACAGAUUUAUAUGCCACAAUUGCUGUAUUUUUAAAGGGAAACAGAGUAGCCCUUUACUCUCAUCCCUAAGCUUUAAGUAUCAGGUAGCUAGAUCCUAAUGUCAUAGAACUUGUGGAGCCAAAACAGUUUCUUCAAGUCAUAAGUUCGAUUGAUGAACACAGAUGGCUUUAUAUUUUCCUUAUUAUCUCAUAUUAUAUCUUUUUGUGAGUCAUUUUCAGUUGAGUAGAACUAAAUAAACUUAUUCAUUGAGCUGACGUGUUCAAGGGGAUGUUUUUUAUUUUCAGAAGCAUGCCUAAGAACAUUUGUGUAUGUACCCAUAACUAGGGGAGCAUUUGUGACUAGAACAUUUAUUAAUACAUGAUACAAGAUACUAAGAGAGCAUGAAUUCCCUAAGUUGACAUUGUAGUUACUUGGGAAGGGGUGGAAAUGGAGAUCAAAGGGCUCUAUCUCUUAAGGUUGAUUUCCUUAAGCUACAUAAAGACAUCAAUUUGAGUAGACUCGACUUAGUUGACUCAAUGCAGAAGAUUAGACAUUAAAUAUUGAAACAUUAGUAGCAAUUUAACAUAUAAUUUAGGUUAAUUAUAUAAAUAUUAAGAAAACUGAAUAUACGAAAUUAAACUGACAAGCAAAGGUAUUAGAACCUUAAAUCUUGAAUUUUAUUUCCUUCAUUGAUAUUUAAGGAUUUUAAAAUGCAGAAAGAAAUAUAGAAUAUGUCCAUACAAUGAAAUUAUUUAAGAAAUAUUGGUUGGAACUAUGGAGAGCAUGAAAGAAAAUAUAGCACACUGCACAGGACUAAGAAAAUGGGAAGAAAUACUUAGUUGUGUGCAGUGUGCUGACAGUGAGAAUUUGCCUCAGACUCCACACCAGCCCUAGGCCCAUCCACACACCCAAAAACAAAUAAAUAAAUAAAAGAAGAAGAAGAAGACAAGAAAAGAAAAGAAAAGAAAAAGAAGAGAAAGAACAACACAGCAGCACCGAUCUAUUGUUUUUCCUUCUAUGUUUUAAUUUUGUUAGGGAGGUUCUUCUACACACUGUUGUUCUUUUCAAAUUGCCUCUCUAUCAAAGCCAUUAACAAAAACAAAUCAUGUUCUAUGUGUGAUUAUUGAAUGUCUUUUUAAGCAUAUGGAAGACUUAUGGCCAUCAUAAGAAGUUGAAUAAUGCCCAAAUAUCACAUUUCAAAUGCCUGACCACUCCAUUACCAAUUAUCUUCACACCUCCAAGGUCAAAGCUUCUUUAGAAUUUCCUCACAACCAUUCUCAAUUAGAGUGUUUCAUGACCAUGAGUACUAAAAUUGACUGAUGACCUAGAUGAACAAUCAACAGUGUGAACAUGUGAUGACAAAUUUGUUUGUAGUUCUCAAUUAGUCUAAUGGGAACAAGUCUUUCUGUUAACCAAUUUGAUCCCUCUACCAGUUAUUUGUUAUUUAUUUUACUUAGUUACCUAUUAGGACUAUUUCUUAUGCAACUUGUCAUCUGGCUAAUAUGCAGGAAUUGGGUUCAAAAGUGUAUUUUUGAUCACAGCUCAGCCUUACAUAUUCAGUAAUGGAUAUCAGAUACGAUUCAAUGAAGAGCCUUGCUCGCACAGCAAUCUUGGGUACAUUGUCCCUGAAUGGGUUGAGCAGAAUCCAAGUCUUGCUGACAUAAAACAAAUAUAUGGUUCUCAUGCUGUGCUUCCAACCACUACUAUAAUCUUGCCUCUAAAGCCAGACAAGAUCAAACCUGUGAAGCAACAGCUCUCAAGUAUUCAACCUGAAGUUCUAUUAUUUCUUUCAAAGAUUAAGCAGUUUUCUGUCAAGGAAGAUAACAAGGAUCCAAGGCUCAAUACAGUGAAUGCUAUAUCUAUUUCAAGUGAAAUUAACUUUGUUACAAGGAAAAAUAUUGAUGCUGAUUCCUAUACUCUCCAUCUCUCCACGGAUGAAGCUAGUGAUGUGACUGAAAAAGAAUGCAGCUAUUAUAUGUGGAGGCAGAAGUUCCCUGUCAGGCAGGAAAAUCAAGUAGAAAGAAGACUUGGAGUGGAGGAGUGGGUUAUUAAGCUAGCAUUUCCGAUUGGACAGCGACUGAAUAGGGGGAUGAGCUCUCCUGGAAUCUAUGCAUUUCUUCCUACGGAGAUGGUUACAAAUUUUCCUUUCAUUAUUCAGGCAGAUUUUGUUCUUGCAUCAUCCAGGGAAACAAUCCUCUUGGACAACAAAUGGAACCAAGGCAUUCUAGAUUGUGUGCCUUCUGCUUUUCUUAAUGCCUUUAUUUCACUGGUUACAACAUCAGAAGAUGUUCCAGUUUCUACACUGACCCCAAUGUUUAAGUUCUUACCUAUCAACAGCUCUUCUUAUCCAAAGCUCAAUGUCGUGAGGGAGUCUAUCAAAGCAAAACUGCUUACAGAGAAUAUCAUACCGUGUGAGUCGUAUUCAGACCAGAAGAUCUUUCGUAAACCUUGUGAAGUGGGUAGGUUAAUGCCUUCUUUCUGGAAUAUCCUGAAAAAGGCAAGGAAGCAAGGGGUAAGCUUGCAUUCUCUAUCAUCCCAUGGAAGGUAUAUCCUGAAUUCUUCAUUUGAUACAGAGGAGCACGAUCACAUAUUGAAUUUCCUUGGUGUGGAACCUGUCAAUAGCGAAUGGUAUGCCAAGUGUAUCAUGAGUUCCAAGCUUGUUUUGGGAGUGACAGAGGAUGACUAUUUGGAGCUUCUACUCUUUAUUGCUGAGAAAUGGAGUUUCUCGUUCUAUAGCACUACUAUGAAGUAUGUGCCUCUCCUGAAAUAUGUUGGGCUUGACGGAAGGGUUGCUUUGUGUGCUAUAAGCAACGUCACAAUGCGGGAUGGUGAAAGUAUGAUUUGUAUGUCCCAUGAGCCUCGGCAUAUCUCAUGGAUGAUAGAUUGGAACAGGGAAUUUGGAUUUAUGACAGAUCGAUAUUUUAUGCCCAGAAGCACACAAGCAGCUAUAAUGUCAUUUUUUAGGAGAGAGACUCUGUUGGAAUGGCUUAAAAUUCAAGUUAAGGUUCGUGUUGUAGGCAUGUACAACUUUGCGGUCAUUCUUUAUAAUUCUCUCAAUGAUGACCGACAGCUUGCAAUUGCCUAUGCUCACUUCCUUUAUCAUUCGUUCUCAAAGAGUUAUCUACCAAAGGAGAAGGUUGAUUAUUUGUGUGGUAUUAUGCCACUUGUAGAUAACUAUGGGCAUGUGAUGAGACGAAGAAAAGGGGUUCUCGUCCCUGCCAAUGGAAGCAAAUGGGUGGGAUUGAUGGGUGCAAAUCCGUGGAGGGAAGAAGGCUAUGUUGAACUAGGAGAAGACUAUUUGCGCUCAGGAAAUUAUGCAGGUUCAUUCACCCCAGAAAGUCAGCUAAUAACAUUUCUCAAAACACAUAUUGCAGUUUCUGAUAUACCUGAUAUAUCUCCUCCCAACGCUGAGUUAUCUGUUGCAGAUACACCACUCACCAAGAAAAAUGCAUUCUUGCUGUUGGACUGGAUUCAUAAUCUGAAUUAUAAGGAAAAUCUGCCUGCUAAGU
RNAcentral lists this long non-coding RNA (23614 nucleotides) under Vitis vinifera (wine grape). RNAcentral describes it as "long non-coding RNA (VVIN_LNC005603)". Lineage: Eukaryota; Viridiplantae; Streptophyta; Magnoliopsida; Vitales; Vitaceae. The record is from RNAcentral.